AAAUCAUCAUGCCCCUUAUGACCUGGGCUACACACGUGCUACAAUGGGCGGUACAAAGGGUCGCGAACCCGCGAGGGGGAGCCAAUCCCAAAAAGCCGCUCUCAGUUCGGAUUGCAGGCUGCAACUCGCCUGCAUGAAGCCGGAAUCGCUAGUAAUCGCGGAUCAGCAUGCCGCGGUGAAUACCGUUCCCGGGCCUU
This 197-nucleotide ribosomal RNA is filed under the name uncultured Anoxybacillus sp. RNAcentral's name for it is "partial 16S ribosomal RNA". It matches the Rfam family "Bacterial small subunit ribosomal RNA", at positions 1187 to 1382 of the family's 1533-position model. Lineage: Bacteria; Bacillati; Bacillota; Bacilli; Caryophanales; Anoxybacillaceae. The record is from RNAcentral.